Molecule: long non-coding RNA, 663 nt
Filed under: Anas platyrhynchos platyrhynchos (common mallard)
Lineage: Eukaryota; Metazoa; Chordata; Aves; Anseriformes; Anatidae
Description: lncRNA (ENSAPLG00000029491.1)
Source: RNAcentral
GGGGGCUUUAUUCAGCGCCACCUCACAGAGCCCCAAAAUGGGGCAAAAACCACGGGAUUUGGGGCCGGGGGAUGUCCCCGCGUGGUGGGGGUGGGCGGCAAGGGGACGGUGCCUGCGGUGACAAUGUCCUGACGGCCCCGUGUCACGACAUGCUGGUGUCACGAUGUCCCCAUGUCGUGACAUCCCAGUGUCAUGACAUCCCCAUGUCUCGGUGACAUUGUCCCAGUGUCACGACAUCCUGGUGUCACGACAUCCCAGUGUCACUAUGUCCCCACGUCGUGACAUCCCAGUGCCAUUUUCUUGUGUCGCGAUGUUCCAGUGCCAUUGUCCCGGUGUCACAACAUCCCGGUGUCACGAUGUCCCCAUGUCGUGACAUCCCAGUGCCAUUCUCCCAGUGUCACGAUGUCCCGGUGCCAUUGUCCUGGUGUCACGACAUCCUGGUGUCACGAUGUCCCCAUGUCGUGACAUCCCCGUGCCAUUAUCCCACCACCACCACACCCCCCUGUCACGACAUCCCCCCGCCCCCCCCCCCCGCGGCCCCCCCCGCCCCCCCGGGGGGCAGCAGGCGACAGGCGGUGACGGUGCCCAGGGUGGCGGCGACGGCGGCGAGGUCGCGACGGGCCAGGCGCAGGCAGUGAGCGGCAGCGGCCGCCCCUGCCUGCG